UGGGGAAUAUUGCACAAUGGGCGCAAGCCUGAUGCAGCCAUGCCGCGUGUGUGAAGAAGGCCUUCGGGUUGUAAAGCACUUUCAGCGAGGAGGAAGGUGGUGAACUUAAUACGUUCAUCAAUUGACGUUACUCGCAGAAGAAGCACCGGCUAACUCCGUGCCAGCAGCCGCGGUAAUACGGAGGGUGCAAGCGUUAAUCGGAAUUACUGGGCGUAAAGCGCACGCAGGCGGUUUGUUAAGUCAGAUGUGAAAUCCCCGGGCUCAACCUGGGAACUGCAUUUGAAACUGGCAAGCUAGAGUCUCGUAGAGGGGGUAGAAUUCCAGGUGUAGCGGUGAAAUGCGUAGAGAUCUGGAGGAAUACCGGUGGCGAAGGCGGCCCCCUGGACGAAGACUGACGCUCAGGUGCGAAAGCGUGGGGAGCAAACAGAUUAGAUACCCUGGUAGUCCACGCUGUAAACGAUGUCGAUUUUGGAGGUUGUGCCCUUGAGGCGUGGNUUCCGGAGCUAACGCGUUAAAUCGACCGCCUGGGGAGUACGGCCNCAAGGUUAAAACUAAAUGAAUUGC
Molecule: ribosomal RNA, 564 nt
Filed under: uncultured bacterium
Lineage: Bacteria
Description: partial 16S ribosomal RNA
Rfam family: Bacterial small subunit ribosomal RNA
Source: RNAcentral